Molecule: long non-coding RNA, 275 nt
Organism: Solea senegalensis (Senegalese sole)
Lineage: Eukaryota; Metazoa; Chordata; Actinopteri; Pleuronectiformes; Soleidae
Exons: 3
Source: RefSeq, a predicted model, not a curated record
UUAAGGGGUUCAGCUGUGAUGUUUGAUUUAAGGGGUUCAGCUGUGAUGCUUUUGAUUUAAGGGGUUCAGCUGUUGGUGAUGUUUUUGAUUAAAGGGGUUCAGCUGUGAUGUUUGAUGUUUUUGAUUUAAGGGGUUCAGUUGUUGGUGGUGUUUUUGAUUUAAGGGGUUCAGCUGGGGAUGCUUUCGAUUUAAAAGGUUCAGUUGUUGGGGAUGUUUUUGAUUUAAGGGGUUCAGUUGUUGGGGAUGUUUUUGAUUUAAGGGUUUAGUUGUUGGUG